GAUGAACGCUGGCGGCGUGCCUAAUACAUGCAAGUCGAGCGAACAGACGAGGAGCUUGCUCCUCUGACGUUAGCGGCGGACGGGUGAGUAACACGUGGAUAACCUACCUAUAAGACUGGGAUAACUUCGGGAAACCGGAGCUAAUACCGGAUAAUAUAUUGUACCGCAUGGAUCAAUAGUGAAAGACGGUUUUGCUGUCACUUAGAGAUGGUUUCGCGCCGCAUUAGCUAGUUGGUAAGGUAACGGCUUACCAAGGCGACGAUGCGUAGCCGACCUGAGAGGGUGAUCGGCCACACUGGAACUGAGACACGGUCCAGACUCCUACGGGAGGCAGCAGUAGGGAAUCUUCCGCAAUGGGCGAAAGCCUGACGGAGCAACGCCGCGUGAGUGAUGAAGGUCUUCGGAUCGUAAAACUCUGUUAUUAGGGAAGAACAAAUGUGUAAGUAACUAUGCACGUCUUGACGGUACCUAAUCAGAAAGCCACGGCUAACUACGUG
RNAcentral lists this ribosomal RNA (497 nucleotides) under uncultured bacterium. Its description in RNAcentral is "partial 16S ribosomal RNA". It matches the Rfam family "Bacterial small subunit ribosomal RNA", at positions 28 to 507 of the family's 1533-position model. The record is from RNAcentral.